RNAcentral lists this long non-coding RNA (7350 nucleotides) under Daucus carota (carrot). Its description in RNAcentral is "long non-coding RNA (DCAR_LNC000860)". The record is from RNAcentral. Lineage: Eukaryota; Viridiplantae; Streptophyta; Magnoliopsida; Apiales; Apiaceae.
GGGGAGAUUGUAGAAUCAAUUGGAAAUCUGGUGUCACUUAGAUAUCUCAAUUUAUCACAUAAUCAUCUCAGAGGCCACAUACCACGGUCGAUUGGAAAAUUGACUGUGCUGGAGUCACUAGACCUCUCAUCCAAUGAACUUGAAGGAGAAAUUCCUCCGCAACUCACUGGUUUAUAUUCACUUGCAGUUCUAAAUCUUUCUUGCAACCAACUUAGAGGCCGUAUACCAGAAGGGUCACAAUUCAAUACGUUUGAAAUCUACAGCUACGCCGGGAACUUUGAAUUGUGUGGAAAACCCUUGUCAAAAAAGUGUGAAAAUUAUGUGAGGGUACACAAAGAAGACGAAGAAGAUGAGGAUGAAUAUUACUUUUUCAGUGGUUUUACAUGGGAAGCGGUGGUGAUUGGAUAUGGGUUUGGAGUGGUGCCUGCAUUUAUCGCCGGGUACUUGAUGUUGCUGGCACGGAAACCAAAAUGGUUUGCUGGAAUCAUUGGCAGGGAAUUGGGCCUCAAGAUCAGGAGGAUGGAGAUUAGAAUGCGAUAACUACAGGUUUGGUGUAAUCUGUAUCCCAUUCCCAGGUCUUGAAAAUUCUGUAAUAAUAUAGUAAUAUCUGCUCUCAUAUAAUUCUAUAUUUGCAGAUUCAGAUGGGACAAGCAGGAUUCAGAUGCAUUGCAUUGGAUUCAGAUGGGACAAGCAGGAUACAAGUUAUGUAGUAUUGUUUUGUUCCAGCUCUUAUCUGAUCUGCAAUCAAGUUAAUGAACCACUACCUCAGUUGUUAAGCAUCUUUCAGCAUUUUAAUUUUACAACUCACAAUAAAAGAUUACAUGUGUAUUAAUCUGAUCAUCAUUGGUUUAGAUCAAUAUAGAAGUUCGGCUUUGUUUAUUUCUAUCCCGGGCUCCUCAUUUUUAGAACAUAUUUGUUGAUACUUUUUAUGGAACGGUUAAGAAUAUUCCAUAGAUUUUUAUAUUCAGUGCUAGAUGAUUUUAUGUCCUGUUUUCAUUCCAAUUUCCGUUCAUGAACUAAUUAAAAAUCUGAAAGUGGGUCAUAUCUGGCAGUGAUGCCCACCUUUCUGGACCUGAAUUUCAUGACCACACAAACUCCAAUUCUGCCCAAAAAUUGCAGCUGUUUCGUAAAAUAUUUUUACGUGCUCUUUUGUUUGGACUUGUUUGCUGGACCAUGCAUAUGUUUUGAUACAAACAUCUUCGUGUAUGUUAACACUCUUGUGUCAGUUUCUGGACUCAUUGUUAGUAGCCCAUUCUUUACGGCAGACAUUGAAUUGGAUUUACUUGAAGAAAUGAAGGUUUAAGAAAGUUGAGAACAAUUUGUUGAUAAUUUCCUUCCCUAGAAACUGCACUCCAGCAUCAAAGUACCUUUCAAAGACUCCAGACAUCAUCUCUUGAUUAUCGAAGACUUGGUCUUGCAUAUACUGAUAUACAGUGAAUAUAGAUUUCUUUCAUUUCCUUGAAAUUGCAUUUUUGGAAGUAGCUCUCCAGACUCAUUCCCGUCACUUCUUAAAGUCUUAUUCCUCCUCAAUACUACAUACACGUAAUAUCACACCACUUUGCUCAUGCUCAGAUGGGUUUUUCUUACAAACCACAUAUGUUCACUUCUCAGAGUCUUAGUCCUCGUCAAUGUAUAGAGAUAAUAUCUCACCAUUUGCUAGUGCUACAAAUGGGCUUCUCCUACAACCACACAUAAUCGGAGAAAAGUCUGUCAAGUGUCAAGUGGACUUGAAAGACCCUUGUGCAUGGAUUAUUGUAUGUCAUGAAUGCCUUCUGAUAUCCCUGAAAGUGCAAGCAAGUUAUAAAAGUAGCUGGGCAGACUCUUUCUCAUCAAUACAUUCACAUUUAAAGCGGGCGUUGAUAUGCCUCCCUAAUUUUCUAAUGCCCUAGACGGAAUUCUAUUACAAUCCACAUAUGAUGGGUAGCGAUCAUCAAUUCAAAGAAGAGACUAUCAGCAGCUUGCAGGAAAUGUCCCCUCUGCAUGGAUUAUCGAAGAAAGGAACUUAUACCUAUAAAGAUGUAGAAAACCAAUGGUAAGCAUAACUGCAUAUAAGAUACAAAACUAAAUUUAAUACAAGACUCGUUCUGAGCAUUGGAAAAUAUAAUUCAUCCUGGUCUUCGUCUUCUACUUCUCCAAAUAUGCUUUUAUUGCAGCCAAUGUAUUAGUGAAAAGAAUUAAAUUUAAAUUAAUUGUAGACCGCAAAUAUAAGAUUAGGAGAGUUUCUACAACCCACAAAUUAGUAGACAGACUAAUAUGGUUAGUUGAGACCAUCAAUCUGGAGAAACUGUUUCUACAAUGACCCAUAUGUAUGAAUUAUUGAAGAAAGAAACUUAUACCUACAAUGUAAAGGAAAUGGUCACGAGUAUAUUGCAUUUUUAAUCCAAAUUGUAUAUGAUUCUCUCUGUGCUACUGAUAGUUAAUAAUAAAUCUACAACGGAACUUGCAGUUAAUCAAGGUAUUUAAGUCUACCUUUCUACAUUGUUGAAUAGUUUGAAUUAAAUAAUUGUAAUAAAUUUUUUGCUGGAUGCUGUGUGAGUUUACCAGAGCUUAUCACGGUGAGAAGUUCACUAAAGCUCUUGGAAUUAGUAAAUAAAAACUCAGGGCAGUGAAUUAGAAGUCUGAGUACAAGGCAAUGAGCAGGAAACAACAUAGGGAGUUUACAACUAGAAGUAUCUAUUCUCCCCCAGUCUUUUUGUGAACAUCAAGAGGCCAUUCAUAUUGCUCACAAACCAGUUAAAAGUGGCAGGACUACACAUAAUGAAUCACACAGUCACUUUAUGUGAGAAAAGAAAAUUGUCAGGACUGCAAUGCAUUUCUAGCCCAUUUUGUACAGCAGCUCAAACGUUUAAAAAACUUCAUUAAUUAUUUUCUUUUAUUGAAACCACACUCAUCCAUCAAAGUAGCUCUCAAAGUCUAAUUUCCAUCACCUUCUGAUUCUCAAAGUCUUCUUCUUCGUCUUAUAUUGCACGCCACAUAUUAGUAGACAUACUACAUCAACUCUGUAGAAAGAAACAAUCUAUAGUAGUUGAUGUACAAUGUUAUUAUGUAAAUGUAUAAUAUCAAAAUUAGGAAUAGAAAUCACGCCCUAAUAAUUAACCCUCUGCAGGGGUUAUUAAAGAAAGCAGCUUAUAACUUUAGUUGCUGAACAUUUGUGUGGGCCAAAUUCAAUUUUACACAUCAUUACUAGAUUUACACAUGGUAUUAGACAUCAGUACUAGUAUAAGAUGUUAAUCAAGUUUUGGAAUUUCUUUUAUUUCAGAAAACAAGUUUUUAACUCUCUUUUUUUUUUGUGGUAUUAAUUAUUUAUAUCACGCAUUUGAGCUUUAAAAUUAGCUCUAAAUAAAAGUUGAUUUUCGCUCAAAGAAACAAUGAUGUAUAAGAAGAUUUUCAGAACUGAAUUAUUUCUUUCCAUUUUUACAGUUCCAUUCAAGAACCGAAAGCAGCUCACAAAGACUCACUACAUCAUCUUUCAAUUCUCAUAGUGUUGGUCUUUGUCUUCUGCUGCUCAAAAAUUCUAUUACAGCCCACAUAUCAGUAUCAUAUACCUAAUUAUAAAUAGUAUUUAACACUUAACACCAUUAAAGAUUUGUCUCAGAGACUUACUUCCAUCACCUUAUGGUUCUCAAACUCUUCGUCUUCUAAUGCUCCAAAAGUUCUAUUAGUGCAGGCCACAUAUUGGUAAACAGACUACAAUUCAUCCAAAAUGACCCUCUUAUUGGACACUUUGAACACCUCUGUCUGUAUAUGCAUUGGAGAAGAAUUAUCAGCUCGUUAAAAUAACCUCUUCGCAUCAACUCUAUGGAAAGAAGCAAUUCAUACCUAAAGUACAAUGUUUGGAUAAAAUUAGGGAUAGCAACCGCACGCUAAUUUUUUAGUUGAAGCAGGCUACCUUAGUGUAAUUAACUGAACAUCCCCGUAAUUUCUUGACAGGCCACAAUUAAGGAAGUUUACAGAAUUACAUUCCAGAAGUAGCUCCCUGAGACAGAUUCGCAUCAUCUUUCAAUCUUCAAAGUUCUUUAUACUUAUAUUAUAUUUCAUGUUUUAUUGUAAUGAACAUAGCAGUUUCCUGUUCAGUAAUAUUCCAGGCUCAGGUUCUUCAUUCCAAGUCUCUGUUACAUGUUUGCUACUAAAACGUAUUAAACAGUUAUUAGUUUAUGACUGUAUUCCAUCUUGAAAGGAGAUCUCAAAGACUCAUUCCCAUAAUCUUCAGAAUCUCAAGUCUUGAUGAACUUGGCCUUCAUCAUAUUUGUACUCUUGUAAUUCCAUAUUAAUCAAGUUUAAAUAUUAAAAUUUUUAAUUUUAGUAAAUUUGUAAAAAUAGUAAAAUUUGUCUUAUUUAUAAUAUUUAUAAAUCUCUUACUUUCCUGUUACUGUAUUCAACUUAAUAAUUUUUACAAACACUGUGCAUCACAUAAGUUAUGUAAAUUUAGAACAAAUUAUGUCCAAUUUAUUUAAGAGAGAUUGUUAUAUUGUUUUUACUUUAAAAUUAAUGGUAUCUUUUAUUUUUAAUAUAAUUUACAGCUAAAAAUAUUUGAUAUAUUUUCACACUGCUUCUUAUUUUUGUAAUAUGACUAAACAUAUCUUAAAUACACUUUUUUCCUAUAUAUAUGCUAGCCUCUCGAGAUGUUGAAUAGAUCAUCCCAAACAAAAAAAUUUAAGGGAAAUAGAAAAUGAGGAAUUCCAUCCUCUGUUUUUCCACCAUCAGUUUGUUGCUCAUCUUCCUGCAGUUGCAGCACAACCUAGUGGCUUCUUCAUUAAGUCCCCACUUGCAGAAACUUGCCUUGUUCCACUUUAACCAAACCUUAACAAUCAGUACUACUAGCUGGGAUUGCGAGUACUAUUCCUACGAUGGAUAUUACGAAAUUCCUUCACGGGCAAAGACAAAGAAUUGGAGCAUGAGUUCCGAUCACUGCACAUGGGAGGGAGUUAGCUGCGACGACAAGACAGGGGACGUUAUCGGACUGGAUUUAAGUUGCAGUCAGCUGGAAGGAGCCAUUCUUUCUAACAGCACCCUCUUCCAGCUCUCUCAACUCCGCUUCCUCAAUCUUUCUCACAACGGCUUUUACAAUCAGUUCCCUCAGGAAUUUGGUUUCUUUGCAAAAGGUUUGACGCAUCUCAAUCUCUCUCGUACUGGAUUAUCAGGGAGAGUUCCCUCUGGAAUCUCUCAUUUGUAUAAACUGGUCUCACUUGAUCUCGGUCGCAACUAUAGGGCUUGGGCUAAACUUGAAGAAGAAGUGUUUAAAUCACUGUUGCAGAAUUUAACUCAUCUUGAAGUGCUUAAUCUUGAAGGGGUUAGCAUCUCCUCUGUUUUGCCCCUGAAUAUCUCUACUUCUUUAAGAUUUCUUGCUCUUGCGGGAACUGAAAUACACGGAGUAGUACCUCAAGAGGUUUUCCACCUUCCCAACUUGGAAUUUCUUCGUUUAUCAUAUAAUGACCACCUGAGAGUAACAUUACCCAAAGUUAAGUGGGGAAGUAGUGCUACUCUCCAACACCUUCAACUUUCAGGCGUCAACAUAGAUGGAGGUAUGCCUGACUCAAUAGGCUUUUUGGAGUCAUUAGUCAGUUUACAUCUGAUCCAGUGUAAUUUGUCUGGGCCGAUACCAAAAUUCAUUGGGCAACUCGUUCAACUUACUCACUUGGGCCUGGCUGCUAAUAAUCUCAGUGGCCCAAUUCUAACUUUUUUAACACGCCUUGCAGACUUCAGAUCUAUCUUCCCUUGAGCAUAACAAUUUUACUGGUCCGUUUCCCUCUUUUCUUGCCCACUCCAGUAAACUAGUUGAGUUGUAUCUUCAUAAUAAUAGCUUUACUGGAUCCCUACCUCGUUCGUUGUUUCACCAUCCAUCCUUAGAGAUCUUGAAUCUGGCAUAUAAUGCAUUCACGGGUCCACUACAUGAAUUUCAUUCUUCUUUGUCACGAUUGCGAUCUUUUUAUUGUUCCAGCAAUUUACUCAAUGGAUCCAUUCCACAUUCAUUUUCUCAACUUGUGAAUCUCACUGAACUAGAUCUUUCAUCAAACAAUUUCACCGGGGUUUUGGAUUUGGAAAUGUUUUCAGGCCUCAAAUCUCUAGGAAUUCUUCAUCUUUCUUAUAAUAGUCUUUCAGUGAGAACUACAACUAUGGCCACUCUCCCUCCUACGCUUAACGACUUGGCCUUGUCAUCUUGCAACAUGAAAGAGUUUCCUCACUUUUCAAGAGAUGCAAACAUCUUCCUCGAUUUUGUAGACCUAUCAAACAACAAAAUUGAAGGGGAAAUUCCACACUGGAUUGGGUCGGUGGGGAGGUACCCUUUCUAUCCAAUCCAUUAUCUGAAUCUUUCUCACAACGGACUAAUAUGCGGUCUUGAGCAACUGCCUUGGAGUCAUGUUGAAUUUCUUGAUCUCCAAUACAAUAAGCUGAAUGGAUCAUUGCCCACCUUGAUGUGUAAUUCCAGCUCUCUCCGGGUUCUAAAUCUCUCUCACAACAAGUUGAGUGGUGUACUCCCCAUUUGCCAUACAAAUUUGACUUCGCUUCGCGUGUUGGAUCUGCGGAGGAAUAAAAUUCAAGGAAACAUUCCAGCAACCUUGUCAAAUUUCCGUAACCUGGAAACUGUUAAUUUGAAUGGAAACCGAUUAGAAGGAAGCAUUCCUUCUUCUUUUGCUGGAUUUGAUUCUUUAGCCGUUCUUGAUCUUGGAAAUAAUCAGAUAAAUGAUACAUUCCCCCAGUGUUUGGAAGCUCUUCCCAAUCUCCAAGUUCUUGUUCUCAAAUCAAACAAGUUUUAUGGUCUUAUAAACACGAGUUCGAAGAUUGUACACCCAUUUCCAAGCUUGAGAAUCAUUGAUCUGUCGAAAAAUGAGUUUUCAGGUCCACUGCCAGCAAAAUACUUCAGAAACUUCAAGGCUAUGAUGGAUAGUGAUGUAAGCAAAAUAGAUCGUAGUUAUAUGAAUUAUGGUUCCUAUUACAGUGAUUCCACGACUCUGGUGAUUAAAGGAGUAGACAUGGAGUUGGUAAAGAUAUUAACUAUUUUUACAACCAUGGAUGUAUCAAGGAACCAUUUUGAAGGGGAGAUUGUAGAAUCAAUCGGAAAUCUAGUGUCACUUAGAGAUCUCAAUUUAUCUUACAAUCAUCUCACAGGCCACAUACCACGCUCGAUUGGAAAAUUGACUGUGUUGGAGUCACUAGACCUCUCAUCCAAUGAACUUGAAGGAGAAAUUCCUUCGCAACUCACUGGUUUAUAUUCACUUGCAGUUCUAAAUCUGUCUUGCAACCAACUCAGCGGUCAUAUUCCACAAGGUUCUCAGUUUAAUACAUUUGAUGCUGAUAGCUAUGGUGGUAACUUCGGGCUGUGUGGAAAUCCAUUGUCCAAAACGUGUGAAC